GACAGAGGGUGCAAGCGUUGUUCGGAAUUAUUGGGCGUAAAGGGCGCGUAGGCGGCUUCAUAAGUCACAUGUGAAAUCCCGGGGCCUAACCCCGGAAGUGCAUGUGAUACUGUGAAGCUUGAGUCCUGGAGAGGGUGGUGGAAUUCCCAGUGUAGAGGUGAAAUUCGUAGAUAUUGGGAGGAAUACCGGUGGCGAAGGCGACCACCUGGACAGAGACUGACGCUGAGGCGCGAAAGCGUGGGGAG
This 245-nucleotide ribosomal RNA is filed under the name uncultured bacterium. Its description in RNAcentral is "partial 16S ribosomal RNA". It matches the Rfam family "Bacterial small subunit ribosomal RNA", at positions 524 to 768 of the family's 1533-position model. The record is from RNAcentral.